RNAcentral lists this ribosomal RNA (468 nucleotides) under uncultured bacterium. RNAcentral's name for it is "partial 16S ribosomal RNA". It matches the Rfam family "Bacterial small subunit ribosomal RNA", at positions 28 to 507 of the family's 1533-position model. The record is from RNAcentral.
GACGAACGCUGGCGGCGCGGUUAACACAUGCAAGUCGAACGGAAAGGCCCUGCUUUUGUGGGGUGCUCGAGUGGCGAACGGGUGAGUAACACGUGAGUAACCUGCCCUUGACUUUGGGAUAACUUCAGGAAACUGGGGCUAAUACCGGAUAGGAGCUCCUGCUGCAUGGUGGGGGUUGGAAAGUUUCGGCGGUUGGGGAUGGACUCGCGGCUUAUCAGCUUGUUGGUGGGGUAGUGGCUUACCAAGGCUUUGACGGGUAGCCGGCCUGAGAGGGUGACCGGCCACAUUGGGACUGAGAUACGGCCCAGACUCCUACGGGAGGCAGCAGUGGGGAAUAUUGCACAAUGGGCGGAAGCCUGAUGCAGCAACGCCGCGUGCGGGAUGACGGCCUUCGGGUUGUAAACCGCUUUCGCCUGUGACGAAGCGUGAGUGACGGUAAUGGGUAAAGAAGCACCGGCUAACUACGUG